Molecule: ribosomal RNA, 378 nt
Filed under: uncultured cyanobacterium
Lineage: Bacteria; Bacillati; Cyanobacteriota
Description: bacterial SSU rRNA
Rfam family: Bacterial small subunit ribosomal RNA
Source: RNAcentral
CGCAAGCCUGACGGAGCAAGACCGCGUGCGGGAUGACGGCCUAAUGGUUGUAAACCGCUUUUCUCUGGGAAGAAUGAUGACGGUACCAGAGGAAUCAGCCUCGGCUAACUCCGUGCCAGCAGCCGCGGUAAUACGGAGGAGGCAAGCGUUAUCCGGAAUUGUUGGGCGUAAAGCGUCCGUAGGUGGUGAAUCAAGUCUGCUGUCAAAGCGUGGGGCUUAACUCCAUAGAGGCAGUGGAAACUGGUUGACUAGAGUGCGGUAGGGGUCGAGGGAAUUCCCAGUGUAGCGGUGAAAUGCGUAGAUAUUGGGAAGAACACCAGUGGCGAAGGCGCUCUACUGGGCCGCAACUGACGCUGAGGGACGAAAGCUAGGGGAGCG